AUUGAACGCUGGCGGCAUGCCUUACACAUGCAAGUCGAACGGCAGCGGACCUUCGGGUGCCGGCGAGUGGCGAACGGGUGAGUAAUAUAUCGGAACGUACCUUUCAGUGGGGAUAACGUAGCGAAAGUUACGCUAAUACCGCAUACUCUGUGAGCAGGAAAGCAGGGGAUCGCAAGACCUUGCGCUGAUUGAGCGGCCGAUAUCAGAUUAGCUAGUUGGUGAGGUAAAGGCUCACCAAGGCGACGAUCUGUAGCGGGUCUGAGAGGAUGAUCCGCCACACUGGAACUGAGACACGGUCCAGACUCCUACGGGAGGCAGCAGUGGGGAAUUUUGGACAAUGGGCGCAAGCCUGAUCCAGCCAUGCCGCGUGAGUGAAGAAGGCCUUCGGGUUGUAAAGCUCUUUCGGCCGGGAAGAAAUCGCACAGGUUAAUACCCUGUGUGGAUGACGGUACCGGAAUAAGAAGCACCGGCUAACUACGUG
RNAcentral lists this ribosomal RNA (481 nucleotides) under uncultured bacterium. RNAcentral describes it as "bacterial SSU rRNA". It matches the Rfam family "Bacterial small subunit ribosomal RNA", at positions 30 to 507 of the family's 1533-position model. The record is from RNAcentral.